Molecule: long non-coding RNA, 256 nt
Filed under: Homo sapiens (human)
Lineage: Eukaryota; Metazoa; Chordata; Mammalia; Primates; Hominidae
Description: non-protein coding lnc-ARHGEF5-2:4
Source: RNAcentral
GAAAAAGAGCUGAUGCAGGUCUUGGCACUGUGCCAGUCAUAGAUGAAGGUGUUUCUGUCAGUUCCCCGAGUCGUUGUCCUCUGCAACUCUCAAGCUGUCCCUGCUGCUCUGGAGGCAAGAUGUCACUGAGGUGACUGUUGCCCACGGAGGCUUCAUGGCUGGCCCCUGCUUCUGCCACUGUGAUGACUCAAAUGUGAUGGGACCACCUUAUAGAGAGCCACACCAGGGUGCCAUAGCACACUGAUUGAGAACCAUG